Non-coding RNA from Trichobilharzia regenti, 46 nucleotides. The record is from Rfam. NCBI's taxonomy places the organism in Eukaryota, Metazoa, Platyhelminthes, Trematoda, Strigeidida, Schistosomatidae.
GUACUGAUGAAGAGUCCCAAACUAGGACGAAACAGAUGUCCAGUAC